GUUUCCCUGCUGUGCCCGUGACGCAAGUCGGUAAUUUUUGAGCCAACACCUUGGAAAAGGGAGCCUGGACUCUGGCUAGGGCGUGCAUGCCCCGGCGUGGGGACGCACAAAUUAUUCAGGAGGGCACCCACUUUGUAAGCGAGAGCUUCAAAAACUAUCGACUCACGGCAUGGUGGGGGCAAC
Molecule: non-coding RNA, 183 nt
Filed under: Bacillota bacterium
Lineage: Bacteria; Bacillati; Bacillota
Description: Firmicutes bacterium (anaerobic digester metagenome) 6S RNA
Rfam family: 6S / SsrS RNA
About the family: E. coli 6S RNA was the first non coding RNA to be sequenced, but its function was unknown until recently. It consists of 184 nucleotides that fold into an extended hairpin structure with a large single-stranded internal bulge.
Source: RNAcentral